Galeopterus variegatus (Sunda flying lemur) is the source of this 2957-nucleotide long non-coding RNA. RefSeq lists it as uncharacterized. The record is from RefSeq and is a predicted model, not a curated record. Lineage: Eukaryota; Metazoa; Chordata; Mammalia; Dermoptera; Cynocephalidae. The transcript is spliced from 2 exons.
GUGGCCUGAUGCCUGUGCCAGAUGCAGCUGUCCCAGAAUUAUGAAAAACGGCAUACUUGACUAUACUUGAGAAAGACGUGAUGCAAGCUGAUUUCAGACACAGAAAGAGAAGCUCUUUAUUUUGACUGACAAGGUCUUACAUCAGGAUUACCGGAAUAGAGGGGCUGGUGCUGGGAGAAGAGAGGAGUCAAGCAGUAGCCACAAUGAAGGAGAAGCUUUCUCGUCAUUCUUUAAUCUUCUAAAUCUCUUUAGUUCCCUAUUCACCUCCUUCCCUCAAAUACAGCCACUAUGUGAGCCAGUAAUUCUAGAAAUAAAUUUCAUGCUUAGCAUUUUCCCCAUCCCUUCUAACUGAUCAAUCCAUUAAUGAAUAUAACCAUUGUUAGAAAAGCUCAACAACAACAACAAAAACUCCAAAUAAUCUUGAAAACACCUAUACUUUAGAUUACUAAAGCAUAUCUUUAUUUUACAAUUGAACGUUAAGAGUCACAGCUAGAGUUUUUCUUCACGUUUGUACCUGAACAACUAUUUCUCAAUCAAAAUGAAAUAUGGCCAACAAAAUAAAUGUGUAAUAGCAUUUCAUAUAAUAUAAAUCAUUCUUUAGACUUAAACAGUUUUAAUGCAAACAGCACUUUUAUCCUUUUUGCUGUUAGUAUUUGUAGAUUUUUUUAAACAUAAAUUAAUGCAAGAAUUCUAAUUUUUCAGUGAAGUUAAGACAAAUACGCAAGGCCUUUUAAGCAUACAGUAAGCUACAGUGACAUAGUGAUUUCAAAUUUUCCAGUGUUGAACAAAUUCAAGCUUAUACAUGUUAAAUAAACCUUUAGCUUCUUUGCCUCUUAACUAUGAGAAAAAACUAUAUGGAAAGAGAUAUUUUUUGUGAAAUGGGGCAGGGGGAGUUAGUCUAAAAAAUUAAGAGGCUAAUUCCAUUUUGCCACUAGUUCAGUGGAUUCAAACAUGAAAUGGCCACAAAAAUGUAAAAUUAUAUUUUAAUUAGGAAAUAAACUAGACUUUUAACUAAGUGACGUUCCCCUUUCAUAUUUACAUAUAGCACCUGUUAAAAGAAAAAAAAAAAGUCCCAAAUCAUCCUCUACACAGAAGUAAUUAUUUUAAAAACUACUUAAAAAUAUAAUUGAUGAGUAUAUAGUAAACUAUCAGUCCUAAAAUUAAGCCUACACUGUAGAAAAUAAGGACUAGCUUUUCUUAUUUGAAAAGAUUACAACAAAGAUUAUAACUGCAAUGUCCUGAUGCUGAAGAACACUGGGUUGGACAGUUUUUAUUUUUUUAAGCAGAUACAGUCUACUGGCAGAAAAUGAAAACAGCUUAAUGUAAACUGUUGUUGGCCUCCUAAAUCCUGCCCCUGGACAUGUAUAUAAAGUGUCAGGACUUUUGCCCUCUUAACUUUACUUGUGGUGCAGUAUCUAAACAAAACAAACGGAUUUCCAAGUUUUCAUAUAAUGUACAAAAAAAUGCAAAGCAGACAGGAUUAUAGUAAACCAAGCUUGGUUGCUCACUCAGAGUCCAGUAACACAGUCAACUAGGUAGUCUUUAUUGUACUAAAUAAAUUACAGAAAAGUGGCAAAACUAAGAUUACACAAGUUACCUCUUAAAUAUCAAAUAAGCUAUCAGGAGAUCAUUGUAAAGCAUUUAAACUUGGAUCCAAUCUAAUGAACUCUAAUUUUUUCCAUAUUUACAAAAUUACUAGUAUAGAUUUUAUUUUUAAAUGUAUAAAUUAAAAUUCAGUAGUCAGCAUGAAAUAAAGUGCUAUUUGAAAUUCAAGAGAUCAAUUUUAGCACUGAAAUUUGUCCUACUCUACAGACUACAAGAAUGAAUGAAUAAUCUUGCCACCUCAUUGAAAGAUGGGAAAAGACUGGUGUCAGAGAAUCCCAGAGUUGGGUUGAGAUUUUCUCACCCAGGAAGGCAAAUAAGUGGAACACUAAAAUUCAGCUGUAGAAACUAAAUGACUUCAUUUAAUAAAAGGCAAAAUGGGCUCAGUUGUGACUAGAGAGGAUGUGUGGAAACCACAAAUCAGCAUCUACUUGGGUCUAAGGGUGUGAGUAGGGCUAUCUCCUCCUUUAUGGCUUCCUGGUAAUAAUUUUAUUUAGCAAUAGGACAUUUAGUUUAAGUUUAUCACCAGUAAUAUUUGCUAAAUUUUAGAAACUUCUGGGGUUGAGAGAGCCUGAUACUAAUGUUACAGCUGUGGCAAAAGUUAACAAAGGAAGAUAUCACCUUUUAGUUGCUUGGGGUAUUUAUUUUACAAUGAGUCAAAUUAAUGAUUUUUUAAAAAUUGGAGGUUUGGAAGUAAGAAUCAAAAUAAUGAAGUCCCCACUGAGUCACUCACUCUAAUGAGUGAUAACUAAUAAAUACUAUCUUUUAAAGAAAGAAGCUGUUGAACAAAUUAAUUGUGCUUACAGAAGUUUAAAUGUAGGUUUUUUGUUCAGCUGAAUUAAUAAACCUUUAAGUAUAUAAGAAAGCACUGCUACAAGUCAGAGUUGGGCCCAGUGGAAACUGAGAAUAAAAAAGGCAAAACCAUUUAUUGGGUAAGGGGCCUCUGCAUAUAUUUACUGCAGUGAAUCUUAGGCACGGUUUUCUGGUUUGACCCAAGCAACACUCUUACAAUGAUGUCCUUCACUUGUGACUGCCACAGUGACAAAGCCUGGGGACUUUCCUCCAUGGUAAACACAUGCAGCAGCAAGUUUACCCUCAUACACAAACACCCUUCCACACUCCAGAGGUCCAGAAUUCAAUUAUUUUAUACUUAAAAACAGUAUGUGUGAAAUUUCUGGAAAAUUUCUAUUCUAGAGCCAAAGCAAAAUGAAAAGAGUGUACAUAUUUGAAAUACGGUUCAAUAAUGAUUGCUCUUGUUCAUAAUGAAAAUUACAUUUUUUCUUCUAAAACUGCAUUUCAUAUAAUGAAGUGUAAUACUCUUCCCUUUCUUCUUUUCAAUCCCUUGCAAACUUUUU